This 799-nucleotide ribosomal RNA is filed under the name Vibrio sp. BWDY-65. RNAcentral describes it as "bacterial SSU rRNA". It matches the Rfam family "Bacterial small subunit ribosomal RNA", at positions 356 to 1144 of the family's 1533-position model. Lineage: Bacteria; Pseudomonadati; Pseudomonadota; Gammaproteobacteria; Vibrionales; Vibrionaceae. The record is from RNAcentral.
AGGAGGUUUCGCAAAUGGGCGAAGCCUGAUGCAGCCAUGCCGCGUGUAUGAAGAAGGCCUUCGGGUUGUAAAGUACUUUCAGUUGUGAGGAAGGGGGUAACGUUAAUAGCGUUAUCUCUUGACGUUAGCAACAGAAGAAGCACCGGCUAACUCCGUGCCAGCAGCCGCGGUAAUACGGAGGGUGCGAGCGUUAAUCGGAAUUACUGGGCGUAAAGCGCAUACAGGUGGUUCAUUAAGUCAGAUGUGAAAGCCCGGGGCUCAACCUCGGAACUGCAUUUGAAACUGGUGAACUAGAGUACUGUAGAGGGGGGUAGAAUUUCAGGUGUAGCGGUGAAAUGCGUAGAGAUCUGAAGGAAUACCAGUGGCGAAGGCGGCCCCCUGGACAGAUACUGACACUCAGAUGCGAAAGCGUGGGGAGCAAACAGGAUUAGAUACCCUGGUAGUCCACGCCGUAAACGAUGUCUACUUGGAGGUUGUGGCCUUGAGCCGUGGCUUUCGGAGCUAACGCGUUAAGUAGACCGCCUGGGGAGUACGGUCGCAAGAUUAAAACUCAAAUGAAUUGACGGGGGCCCGCACAAGCGGUGGAGCAUGUGGUUUAAUUCGAUGCAACGCGAAGAACCUUACCUACUCUUGACAUCCAGAGAAUCCAGCGGAGACGCAGGAGUGCCUUCGGGAGCUCUGAGACAGGUGCUGCAUGGCUGUCGUCAGCUCGUGUUGUGAAAUGUUGGGUUAAGUCCCGCAACGAGCGCAACCCUUUUUCCUUGUUUGCCAGCGAGUCAUUGUUCGGGGAACCUCCAAG